GCUGGAAGAAGUCUGGAAGAGAUUCGGAGAGUAGUCGAUCACUGUAGAAAAUCGACUGAUAGUGAAGCCUAGAGAGCAUUUGGAGCAGUCCGAUAGAUGAACGGAGGAGCUCAUUAUUGGAGAAGUCCGAAUGACAUGAUAGGAGUUCGUCCAUUGGAGGAAUCUGAAGGACACUGUGGAAGGUUGACCGCUGGAGGAGUCCAGAUGGUAUUAUGGAAGCUCGAACAGUCGGGGGAGUUCAGAAAGAUGCCCCACAAGGUCGGAAGCUGGAAGAGCCC
Molecule: long non-coding RNA, 278 nt
Filed under: Elaeis guineensis (African oil palm)
Lineage: Eukaryota; Viridiplantae; Streptophyta; Magnoliopsida; Arecales; Arecaceae
Description: long non-coding RNA (EGUI_LNC037521)
Source: RNAcentral